AUGAACUCAACUUGCUUUUGGGAUCUCUUAUUUAGUGAUGGCUUUGGAGAGAUAUUGGUACAAAUGAUAAUCAAGUAAACUGGGAUUUCUAAAUCUUGCAGUGAACUAAGAUGUAUGCUGAACUAGGAGCAGCACAUCCGUCAGAUUUCAAGUUUGUUGGACUAGUGAUAGUUGGGUAAUAGAAGUAUUGUCCCAACCAUAAUUUGAUUGCACGAAGAGCUUUUGGCAUCAAUGAACUGGUACCGCAGAUCGACCAAGGGCAAUCCCGCAGCAGGUGGAAACCAGCACGGCAGUUUCAUCCAUGCUCCAGAUUCUUGUUGUCUAGUGAACCUUUGGUUUCUGCUAUACCUUUGGUGGAGCUAGACGGUAUUAACGUGAUCUGCCUUUCAGCAACAAAUUCCAAUGAUUAAUACGUGGAAGGCUAGAGCAUUUAACAACACCUACAGAUGUACGUACACGCAACUUCUUCUUCAGUCGACAAUGCUAACUUAUGGUGUGUCGAUAGCUGGAGAGGGUGUUUUUGAAGAUCUGCGUGGAUUCUUAGAGCUUGUCAAUGUUCCGGUGUAAGUUAACUAUAUUACAAAUAUUUAAAUUUGUGUAACUGAUCUUCAACCUUAGCUUUGGAGUGGCAUGUCCCAUGUAAUAGGCAUGCUUUGUAUUGUGGUUUGGUCGAAUUUUGUAUGAGAUUUUGCCUACAAAAUGAUAUAUUGUAUCUUCUACCUGCA
Molecule: long non-coding RNA, 725 nt
Organism: Lolium perenne
Lineage: Eukaryota; Viridiplantae; Streptophyta; Magnoliopsida; Poales; Poaceae
Source: RefSeq, a predicted model, not a curated record